RNAcentral lists this unclassified non-coding RNA (20 nucleotides) under Chlamydomonas reinhardtii. Its description in RNAcentral is "small RNA Cre_2769". Lineage: Eukaryota; Viridiplantae; Chlorophyta; Chlorophyceae; Chlamydomonadales; Chlamydomonadaceae. The record is from RNAcentral.
UCUCGACAAUGAGCUGUAGG